RNAcentral lists this long non-coding RNA (334 nucleotides) under Sitophilus oryzae (rice weevil). RNAcentral describes it as "uncharacterized LOC115874910, transcript variant X1". The record is from RNAcentral. Lineage: Eukaryota; Metazoa; Arthropoda; Insecta; Coleoptera; Curculionidae.
UCAUACGGUAUUAUUAUACACAGAAAGAGUAAUGUUAUACACAUAAAUAUUAACAUUUUGUAGAGCAACAACACAAUGAAAAACCAAAAUAUGAACACCAGCAACUAAAACAGGAACCAUUAAAUGAAUAUUACACACAGCAAUAACAGCAUCAAAUAAUGGAAAUAAUGGACCCUACUGCUCAAAUCAAAAACAAAAUUUCAUCAUUACCACUUUAUUGGUUAUAUCAAUAAAAGAAAUUAUUGAGUUUAUGAGUCUAGAUCCUACAAGCAAGCAGAUCUAUCACAUAAUUUAAAAUGAAGAUUUAUCUAUUAUAGUAAUUUAUUCUAAUAAU